GCCAGCCCGCUCAGAACUCAAAGGAAUUGACGGGGCCCGCACAAGCGUGGAGUAUGUGGUUUAAUUCGAUGCAACGCGAAGAACCUUACCUGGUCUUGACAUCCCGGAGACCCUUAGGAAACUAGGGGGUGCUUCCAUCUGGAAGAAUCUGGAGACAGGUGCUGCAUGGCUGUCGUCAGCUCGUAUCGUGAGAUGUUGGGUUAAGUCCCGCAACGAGCGCAACCCUUGCCUUUAGUUGCCAGCAGUUCGGCUGGGCACUCUAAAGGGACUGCCGGUGUUAAACCGGAGGAAGGUGGGGAUGACGUCAAGUCCUCAUGGCCUUUAUGACCAGGGCUACACACGUACUACAAUGGCCGAUACAAAGGGCAGCGACACUGCGAGGUGAAGCCAAUCCCGUAAAAUCGGUCUCAGUCCGGAUUGGAGUCUGCAACUCGACUCCAUGAAGUUGGAAUCGCUAGUAAUCGUGGAUCAGCAUGCCACGGUGAAUACGUUCCCGGGCCUU
RNAcentral lists this ribosomal RNA (502 nucleotides) under uncultured Desulfobulbus sp. RNAcentral's name for it is "bacterial SSU rRNA". It matches the Rfam family "Bacterial small subunit ribosomal RNA", at positions 882 to 1382 of the family's 1533-position model. Lineage: Bacteria; Pseudomonadati; Thermodesulfobacteriota; Desulfobulbia; Desulfobulbales; Desulfobulbaceae. The record is from RNAcentral.